GCAAAACGCGAAGAACCUUACCAAGUCUUGACAUCGGAAUGACCGUCUCGUAACGGAGACUUCCCUUCGGGCAUUCCAGACAGGUGGUGCAUGGUUGUCGUCAGCUCGUGUCGUGAGAUGUUGGGUUAAGUCCCGCAACGAGCGCAACCCUUAUCCUUAGUAGCCAGCAGUUCGGCUGGGCACUCUGGGGAGACUGCCAGGGAUAACCUGGAGGAAGGUGGGGAUGACGUCAAAUCAUCAUGCCCCUUAUGAUUUGGGCUACACACGUGCUACAAUGGCGUAAACAAAGGGAAGCGAAGGAGUGAUCUGGAGCAAAUCUCAAAAAUAACGUCUCAGUUCGGAUUGUAGUCUGCAACUCGACUACAUGAAGCUGGAAUUGCUAGUAAUCGCGGAUCAGAAUGCCGCGGUGAAUACGUUCCCCGGGUCUUGUAC
RNAcentral lists this ribosomal RNA (432 nucleotides) under uncultured bacterium. Its description in RNAcentral is "bacterial SSU rRNA". It matches the Rfam family "Bacterial small subunit ribosomal RNA", at positions 954 to 1386 of the family's 1533-position model. The record is from RNAcentral.